Molecule: ribosomal RNA, 253 nt
Filed under: uncultured bacterium
Lineage: Bacteria
Description: partial 16S ribosomal RNA
Rfam family: Bacterial small subunit ribosomal RNA
Source: RNAcentral
GACGUAGGAGGCGAGCGUUGUCCGGAUUCAUUGGGCGUAAAGAGCACGCAGGCGGUUUGGCAAGUCGGACGUGAAAAUCCGGGGCUCAACCCCGGACCUGCAUCCGAAACUGCCCGACUAGAGGUAGGUAGGGGAGAUCGGAAUUCCUGGUGUAGCGGUGAAAUGCGCAGAUAUCAGGAGGAACACCGGUGGCGAAGGCGGAUCUCUGGGCCGUGCCUGACGCUCAGGUGCGAAAGUGUGGGGAGCGAACAGG